GACGAACGCUGGCGGCGUGCCUAAUACAUGCAAGUAGAACGCACAGUUUAUACCGUAGCUUGCUACACCAUAGACUGUGAGUUGCGAACGGGUGAGUAACGCGUAGGUAACCUGCCUGGUAGCGGGGGAUAACUAUUGGAAACGAUAGCUAAUACCGCAUAAUAUUAAUUAUUGCAUGAUAAUUAAUUGAAAGGUGCAAUUGCACCACUACCAGAUGGACCUGCGUUGUAUUAGCUAGUAGGUGAGGUAACGGCUCACCUAGGCGACGAUACAUAGCCGACCUGAGAGGGUGAUCGGCCACACUGGGACUGAGACACGGCCCAGACUCCUACGGGAGGCAGCAGUAGGAAAUCUUCGGCAAUGGACGAAAGUCUGACCGAGCAACGCCGCGUGAGUGAAGAAGGUUUUCGGAUCGUAAAGCUCUGUUGUAAGAGAAGAACGGGUGUGAGAGUGGAAAGUUCACACUGUGACGGUAUCUUACCAGAAAGGGACGGCUAACUACGUG
RNAcentral lists this ribosomal RNA (505 nucleotides) under uncultured bacterium. RNAcentral's name for it is "partial 16S ribosomal RNA". It matches the Rfam family "Bacterial small subunit ribosomal RNA", at positions 28 to 507 of the family's 1533-position model. The record is from RNAcentral.